CAUAAAACAACUGCUUUAUAUAAUUUUUUUCGCUUUAAUAUUCAUAUGUUCCUAAAUUCAAAGUUUGAAAAAAUAACUGUUUUUCUCCUUUAAAUAUAUUCAAUUUAUACGCAAGACGUUCGUUUCGUCUUCAAAAGACUGACCAGUGACACUCGUAUAAAAAUAAAAAUAGAAACGCUAAAUCAAGUACGAAGUUGAGGAACAUUUAGG
This 210-nucleotide long non-coding RNA is filed under the name Mytilus galloprovincialis (Mediterranean mussel). The record is from RNAcentral. Lineage: Eukaryota; Metazoa; Mollusca; Bivalvia; Mytilida; Mytilidae.